GGUAAGAGCCCACCGCACGCGUGGCAACACGGGUGGCACGGCAAGCCCCACCAGGAGCAAUGCCAAAUAGGGGCCCCGCGCGGGCAGGUGCCGCAAGGCAUACCGCCGCAAGGAUGCCUGAACCCAAGGGGCCCGGGUUGGCAGCUAGAGGGCGGUUGGCAACAGCCGCUCAAGAUGAAUGGUCAUCCAGUCGGGGCAACCCGAUGGACAGAAUCCGGCUUACAGGCCAUCCGCGCAU
Molecule: RNase P RNA, 238 nt
Filed under: Thalassobium sp.
Lineage: Bacteria; Pseudomonadati; Pseudomonadota; Alphaproteobacteria; Rhodobacterales; Paracoccaceae
Description: partial RNase P RNA component class A
Rfam family: Bacterial RNase P class A
About the family: Ribonuclease P (RNase P) is a ubiquitous endoribonuclease, found in archaea, bacteria and eukarya as well as chloroplasts and mitochondria. Its best characterised activity is the generation of mature 5'-ends of tRNAs by cleaving the 5'-leader elements of precursor-tRNAs.
Source: RNAcentral